This 317-nucleotide long non-coding RNA is filed under the name Capsicum annuum. RNAcentral describes it as "long non-coding RNA (CANN_LNC008542)". The record is from RNAcentral. Lineage: Eukaryota; Viridiplantae; Streptophyta; Magnoliopsida; Solanales; Solanaceae.
ACGCUUAAGUUGGUCAAAUAAGUCAUUAAUUUUGGAAAGUGCAUACUUGUUCUUGACCGUGAAUUUAUUGAGCUGACGUUAACCAAUACACAUUAUGAGACCCGUCUUUCUUUCGCACGAUUAAGACUUAUGCGCUCCACGAUGACAUACUGGUUUUGAUGAAUUGCUUAUAUAAGAGAUCCUUCAAUUGUUCUUUUAGUUCUUUGAGUUUUGCAGGUGCCAUUCUAUAUAGCAGAACAGAUAUAGGCUGGGUAUCUGGAAGAAGAUCAAUGCCAAAGUCUAUUUUCCUUUCGGGAGGAAUCCUUGGAAGAUCUUCG